GAGCGGUAACAGGAGUAAUUUAUUACUUGCUGACGAGCGGCGGACGGCUGAGUAACGCGUGGGAACAUGCCCCAAAGUGAGGAAUAACUGCCCGAAAGGGUAGCUAAUGCCGCAUAUGAUCUUCGGAUUAAAGGAUUUAUCCGCUUUGGGAGUGGCCCGCGUACGAUUAGGUAGUUGGUGAGGUAAAGGCUCACCAAGCCCACGAUCGUUAACUGGUCUGAGAGGAUGAUCAGUCAGACUGGAACUGAGACACGGUCCAGACUCCUACGGGAGGCAGCAGUGAGGAAUCUUCCACAAUGGGCGAAAGCCUGAUGGAGCGACGCCGCGUGCAGGAUGAAGGCCCUCGGGUUGUAAACUGCUUUUAUAAGUGAAGAAUAUGACGGUAACUUAUGAAUAAGCACCGGCUAACUACGUGCCAGCAGCCGCGGUCAUACGUAGGGUGCAAGCAUUAUCCGGAGUGACUGGGCGUAAAGAGUUGCGUAGGUGGUUUGUUAAGUGAAUAGUGAAAUCUGGCGGCUCAACCGUACAGGCUAUUAUUCAAACUGGCAAACUCGAGAAUGGUAGAGGUAACUGGAAUUUCUUGUGUAGGAGUGAAAUCCGUAGAUAUAAGAAGGAACACCAAUGGCGUAGGCAGGUUACUGGACCAUUUCUGACACUGAG
RNAcentral lists this ribosomal RNA (660 nucleotides) under uncultured bacterium. Its description in RNAcentral is "bacterial SSU rRNA". It matches the Rfam family "Bacterial small subunit ribosomal RNA", at positions 64 to 750 of the family's 1533-position model. The record is from RNAcentral.